RNAcentral lists this long non-coding RNA (1193 nucleotides) under Piliocolobus tephrosceles (Ugandan red Colobus). RNAcentral describes it as "lncRNA (ENSPTEG00000038557.1)". The record is from RNAcentral. Lineage: Eukaryota; Metazoa; Chordata; Mammalia; Primates; Cercopithecidae.
UUACAUCAUUGAACAAAACGAAAUUUUGAAAAAGUUUUUUGCAACAGAUAGUUUGUGUAAAAAUAAACACAAAACUGGAAACGGAAAAAAUGAACAAGCUAGGAAAGAUUUGGGAUUUAAAAGCAAAAAAAAUGAACCUGUUUAUGCAAAAUUCGUGGGGAAAGAUCAAAAAAGUGUUAAUAUUGAAAAAAAUAAAGUGAACAACAGUAACUUUAAUAAUGGUACUAUUGGUAGUAGUAUUGGUAUUGGUAGUAGUGGUAGCAGUAUCCCAAAUUUGUAUGCACAUAAUAAAAAUGGAUUAACAGGUGUUACGGAAAAAGAAAAAGGAAUGGCAAAUAAUUAUUUGCAGUCUGCAAAAAAAAAAAGUUAUAAUAACGGAGACGAUAUGAAUGGCGAUAAAAACGAAGAAGGUGAACAAUCGAGUGGAGGUAUAGCAUUAGAAAAUAUUUUAAAAAUAGGAAAAAGUAUUGACAAUUUUCGUAAACAAAUUAUAAUACUACAAAAUACAAACAAAGAAUAUCAUAAUGUAAAAAAAAAAUUAGAACAAUUUAGUAGCAUAAUUGAUCUGAAUGCAAAUAAAAGUAUUGAUGGGGAAGAGAGUAGUAAAAACGGGGAAAAACAGGGACUGACAGGAAAUGCACCAACAGAACAGGCGCAUAUGGAACCAGAACAAGCGCAUAUGGAACCAGAACAGGCGCAUAUGGAACCAGAACAAGCGCAUAUGGAACCAGAACAAACACACAUACCAACAGAACAAACACAAACACACAUACCAACAAAACAAACACAGAAACAAAAAACAAAAAAAGUCCAAUUUACAGACUUGGGAAUAUUUGACAAUUUUUUAAACGUUUAUCUAAAAUAUAACGGUAUAAAUUACCCUACAGAUUAUCAGAAAAAAUAUAUACCAAUGUUAAUAUUUUUUUUAAAUAAUACAAUUUUUGAUCUAUACAACUGUGUGCAAAAUACAAAACAUGAUUUGACUAAUUGUAAUAAAACAGAUGAUUCAAAAUAUAUUUCACGCGGUAUGGAUACGAAGGGGCUAGCAAUAACACAUCUAAGUGAGUUAAAAUGUAGUUACAACACAAACAAUGUUAAUAAUAAAAACAAAAUGAAACAAAUUAUAUAUGUUAACAAAUACAACGAAACAAGUAAAGAAUUAAUAAGAACUUUUUUUUUACACUGUCCUACAG